CCGCCCGCGACAGCAAGUAAACUGUGAUAUGUCCCUGUGGUUUGGCAUAAUCACUAGUUUCUUGAUGUCACGGGCGACUAGUGCCAAUAGUUACCCCUUUUUGGACCUCUGUAGAUGUUAACCCGGUGAAGAAGAAGCUACGGAAGACAACUUCACCGAAAAAGCAAAC
Caenorhabditis elegans is the source of this 169-nucleotide non-coding RNA. Lineage: Eukaryota; Metazoa; Nematoda; Chromadorea; Rhabditida; Rhabditidae. The record is from Ensembl.